UGGGCGUAAGCGCGCGCAGGUGGUUUCUUAAGUCUGAUGUGAAAGCCCACGGCUCAACCGUGGAGGGUCAUUGGAAACUGGGAGACUUGAGUGCAGAAGAGGAAAGUGGAAUUCCAUGUGUAGCGGUGAAAUGCGUAGAGAUAUGGAGGAACACCAGUGGCGAAGGCGACUUUCUGGUCUGUAACUGACACUGAGGCGCGAAAGCGUGGGGAGCGGACCGGAUUAGAUACCCUGGUAGUCCACGCCGUACACGAUGAGUGCUAAGUGUUAGAGGGUUUCCUCCCCUUACUGCUGACCUUAACGCAUU
This 307-nucleotide ribosomal RNA is filed under the name Bacillus cereus. RNAcentral's name for it is "bacterial SSU rRNA". It matches the Rfam family "Bacterial small subunit ribosomal RNA", at positions 555 to 861 of the family's 1533-position model. The record is from RNAcentral. Lineage: Bacteria; Bacillati; Bacillota; Bacilli; Caryophanales; Bacillaceae.